AGCAUCAUUUGCAGCAUCUCUCCUCCUCUAUAAAUUUAGCCUCUUGCAUUUGCAAUUCAUGCGUUGGCUUCAUAUCUCUUUCGUCUAGCUUUUCAAUACUAACAAGAAAGACACAGAAAAAAAAAUGGUUUCCAAAUCUAAGGUUUCUUUUGUGGGUCUAGGGCUUCUCUUCUUCACGUUUGUAGCUUUGCUGCUGCUCUUUUCUUCGGUCAUCAUGCAAGAACAUUCUGGUCUCUCUCUCUUUCUCUCUCUCUAACUAAUGUACCAAUCUAGUGUUAUUUCCUAUUUCCUAAAUAUAAGUUAAGUGGGAUUUUAUUUUUAUGUUCAUCUUUUCAGAUUCUGCUGGUACUGAGAAUAUUGGUUGCUAUUAUGGAGAAAUGGACUUGCAAAACAGAAAGGUGGUUGUUCUAUUUUUAUUUUUAUUUUAUUUUUCAUGUUAUGUAAAUGAUAUUAAAAAAUAAAUUGUUGAUUGAUGCAGCUUUUGAGUGAGAAACAAUUACCGGCAAGGACUGGGGGGCUGCUGCAUGCAAUAACAAGUGGUAAUGAGAACAUGAUGGUGGGUGGUUCGGAGUUGAGGGUGGUUCCUUCUGGACCAGACCCAUUGCACCACAAUGGCAGCCCCAAGAAGCCAAGAACUCCAUGAAUGUUAUAUACAUAUAUGCGGCCGCAUGCUAGCUGGGAACGUCGUUUUGUUUUGUAAUAUAUAAGGAACUUUUUGGCUGGUAUAUAUAUGGAAUGAAAAGUAACAUAUAUGCCGUUUUCUGUAUGGGAAAGCAGUUCAAGUAUUUUGCACUCCCCUGCCAACUAGCCGUAUGGUAAUAUUUGUGCACGUGAAUGCAUAUAUAAUUAAUUACUUAUGGC
Molecule: long non-coding RNA, 861 nt
Filed under: Citrus sinensis (sweet orange)
Lineage: Eukaryota; Viridiplantae; Streptophyta; Magnoliopsida; Sapindales; Rutaceae
Description: long non-coding RNA (CSIN_LNC002661)
Source: RNAcentral